CCUACGGGAGGCAGCAGUGAGGAAUAUUGGUCAAUGGACGAGAGCCUGAACCAGCCAAGUAGCGUGAAGGAUGACUGCCCUACGGGUUGUAAACUUCUUUUAUAAGGGAAUAAAGUGCAGCACGUAUACCGUUUUGUAUGUACUUUAUGAAUAAGGAUCGGCUAACUCCGUGCCAGCAGCCGCGGUAAUACGGAGGAUCCGAGCGUUAUCCGGAUUUAUUGGGUUUAAAGGGAGCGUAGAAGGAGUGUUAAGUCAGUUGUGAAAGUUUGCGGCUCAACCGUAAAAUUGCAGUUGAUACUGGCAGUCUUGAGUGCAGGAGAGGUAGGCGGAAUUCGUGGUGUAGCGGUGAAAUGCUUAGAUAUCACGAAGAACUCCGAUUGCGAAGGCAGCUUACUGAACUGUAACUGACGCUGAUGCUCGAAAGUGUGGGUAUCAAACAGGAUUAGAUACCCGAGUAGUC
Molecule: ribosomal RNA, 460 nt
Filed under: uncultured bacterium
Lineage: Bacteria
Description: partial 16S ribosomal RNA
Rfam family: Bacterial small subunit ribosomal RNA
Source: RNAcentral